GACGAACGCUGGCGGCGUGCUUAACACAUGCAAGUCAAGGGGGCCCGCAAGGGUAACCGGCGAACGGGUGCGUAACACGUGAGCAAUCUGCCUCGAUGUGGGGGAUAGCCGGCCCAACGGCCGGGUAAUACCGCAUACGCUCUCUGGGUGGCAUCACUUGGAGAGGAAACAUUUUUGGCAUUGAGAGGAGCUCGCGGCCUAUCAGCUAGUUGGUGGGGUAAUGGCCUACCAAGGCUUUGACGGGUAGCUGGUCUGAGAGGAUGGCCAGCCACAUUGGGACUGAGAUACGGCCCAGACUCCUACGGGAGGCAGCAGUGGGGAAUAUUGCGCAAUGGCCGAAAGGCUGACGCAGCGACGCCGCGUGGGGGAUGAAGCAUUUCGGUGUGUAAACCCCUGUUGCCCGGGACGAACAACUGGUUUUGACCAGUCUGACGGUACCGGGUGAGGAAGCACCGGCUAACUCCGUGCCAGCAGCCGCGGUAAU
Molecule: ribosomal RNA, 484 nt
Filed under: uncultured bacterium
Lineage: Bacteria
Description: bacterial SSU rRNA
Rfam family: Bacterial small subunit ribosomal RNA
Source: RNAcentral